GGGUUGUGAGGUUAAGCGAAUAAGCGUACACGGUGGAUGCCUAGGCAAUCAGAGGCGAUGAAGGACGUGCUAAUCUGCGAAAAGCGUCGGUAAG
Molecule: ribosomal RNA, 94 nt
Filed under: Proteus mirabilis
Lineage: Bacteria; Pseudomonadati; Pseudomonadota; Gammaproteobacteria; Enterobacterales; Morganellaceae
Description: partial 23S ribosomal RNA
Rfam family: Bacterial large subunit ribosomal RNA
Source: RNAcentral